RNAcentral lists this ribosomal RNA (495 nucleotides) under uncultured bacterium. RNAcentral describes it as "partial 16S ribosomal RNA". It matches the Rfam family "Bacterial small subunit ribosomal RNA", at positions 29 to 506 of the family's 1533-position model. The record is from RNAcentral.
AUGAACGCUGGCGGCGUGCCUAAUACAUGCAAGUCGAGCGAACAGACGAGGAGCUUGCUCCUCUGACGUUAGCGGCGGACGGGUGAGUAACACGUGGAUAACCUACCUAUAAGAUUGGGAUAACUUCGGGAAACCGGAGCUAAUACCGGAUAAUAUAUUGAACCGCAUGGUUCAAUAGUGAAAGACGGUUUUGCUGUCACUUAUAGAUGGAUCCGCGCCGCAUUAGCUAGUUGGUAAGGUAACGGCUUACCAAGGCGACGAUGCGUAGCCGACCCGAGAGGGUGAUCGGCCACACUGGAACUGAGACACGGUCCAGACUCCUACGGGAGGCAGCAGUAGGGAAUCUUCCGCAAUGGGCGAAAGCCUGACGGAGCAACGCCGCGUGAGUGAUGAAGGUCUUCGGAUCGUAAAACUCUGUUAUUAGGGAAGAACAAAUGUGUAAGUAACUAUGCACGUCUUGACGGUACCUAAUCAGAAAGCCACGGCUAACUACGU